ACUACGGGUGGCAGCAGUAGGGAAUAUUGCUCAAUGGGGGAAACCCUGAAGCAGCAACGCCGCGUGGAGGAUGAAGGUUUUCGGAUUGUAAACUCCUUUUGUUAGAGAAGAUAAUGACGGUAUAUAACGAAUAAGCACCGGCUAACUCCGUGCCAGCAGCCGCGGUAAAACGGAGGGUGCAAGCGUUACUCGGAAUCACUGGGCGUAAAGAGCGCGUAGGCGGGAUAGCAAGUCAGAUGUGAAAUCCUAUGGCUUAACCAUAGAACUGCAUUUGAAACUUUUAUUCUAGAGUAUGGGAGAGGUAGGUGGAAUUCUUGGUGUAGGGGUAAAAUCCGUAGAGAUCAAGAGGAAUACUCAUUGCGAAGGCGACCUUCUGGAACAUUACUGUCGCUGAUGCACGAAAGCGUGGGGAGCAAACAGGAUUAGAUACCCGAGUAGUC
This 440-nucleotide ribosomal RNA is filed under the name uncultured bacterium. RNAcentral's name for it is "partial 16S ribosomal RNA". It matches the Rfam family "Bacterial small subunit ribosomal RNA", at positions 338 to 795 of the family's 1533-position model. The record is from RNAcentral.